RNAcentral lists this transfer RNA (78 nucleotides) under Cordylochernes scorpioides. Its description in RNAcentral is "tRNA-Thr". The stretch from base 6 to 69 matches the Rfam family "tRNA", at positions 5 to 66 of the family's 71-position model. Rfam says of the family: Transfer RNA (tRNA) molecules are approximately 80 nucleotides in length. Their secondary structure includes four short double-helical elements and three loops (D, anti-codon, and T loops). Lineage: Eukaryota; Metazoa; Arthropoda; Arachnida; Pseudoscorpiones; Chernetidae. The record is from RNAcentral.
GCCCAGGGUAGCUUAGUGGACAUGGCAUCUGCCCGGUAAGCGGAACAUUGUGGGUUCGAUUCCCAUCCCCCCUGGACA